GACGAACGCUGGCGGCGUGCCUAAUACAUGCAAGUAGAACGCUGAAGGAGGAGCUUGCUUCUCUGGAUGAGUUGCGAACGGGUGAGUAACGCGUAGGUAACCUGCCUGGUAGCGGGGGAUAACUAUUGGAAACGAUAGCUAAUACCGCAUAAUAGUAGAUGUUGCAUGACAUUUGCUUAAAAGGUGCAAUUGCAUCACUACCAGAUGGACCUGCGUUGUAUUAGCUAGUUGGUGAGGUAACGGCUCACCAAGGCGACGAUACAUAGCCGACCUGAGAGGGUGAUCGGCCACACUGGGACUGAGACACGGCCCAGACUCCUACGGGAGGCAGCAGUAGGGAAUCUUCGGCAAUGGACGGAAGUCUGACCGAGCAACGCCGCGUGAGUGAAGAAGGUUUUCGGAUCGUAAAAGCUUCUGUUGUAAAGAAGAAAG
This 432-nucleotide ribosomal RNA is filed under the name Streptococcus mitis. RNAcentral describes it as "bacterial SSU rRNA". It matches the Rfam family "Bacterial small subunit ribosomal RNA", at positions 28 to 451 of the family's 1533-position model. Lineage: Bacteria; Bacillati; Bacillota; Bacilli; Lactobacillales; Streptococcaceae. The record is from RNAcentral.